GCCCGGGCUGCGCGGGGCGGGGGGGGGGGGGGGGGGGGCGACGCCGUUCCCAUGGCGACCGCCCCCCCGCGCUGUGGGCCGCUCGGGGCAAGGCCCAGCCGCAGGGUUUCGGGGAGGUGCCGGCUGCCGCGCCGCCAGGCCGGGCCGGGCCGGGUCGUCGCGGGCGCGCAGCGCUCGCCCUGCCCUCUCUGCCUGCGGGUGACGCAGCUCCCAAACACCGGCUUCCUCACCCGGCGCCUCCUCUGCCGCCGGUCCGGGGGCAGCGCGUCCUGCCGCCACGUCCCGUGGCGUGAUGGGUGUCACGAAAAGGGAUGCACUACGCAACAUUUUAAAAAGAUUUAUCUAAAUAAUUUGUCCUCAGUGAUUUCUGAUGCUUUGCGAAGUGUAAUUCACCUUAUCGCACAAGCACAGGCAGUGCUUACUGCUGACGCUUAUUUCAUUUAAGCGCAAAGGACUGGAAGGACCUGAUCUGCCUGAUGAGCUCCGUUUGGUACACAUGAACACUUUGCAGUGGAUGGUGGAUCUGAAGUGUUCACCCCGCACCGCAUGCACACCCACAGGAGCGCGCCGGGCUGCACAGCACUUCCUACAACUUGCAGCAACCUCUGCUAAAGGCCAGCUGAAGGACUUCAUGCCACAGACAUAAUUCUUUCUCCACAGGAAAAAAGUAGAUGGAUUCAAAGGCAUUACAUUAUGCCCAAGGUUCCUCUGGUAUGGGAAAUUCCUAGUUAGUAUGUCUCCCCGUUAAAAAAGACUACUGUUAAGAGACACAAGUUUCUAAGCUGUGCAUACAGCAAGUCUCUCUAAUGCUGUAUUUUCAUCAUAUCCUUUUCUCCCUUAAAAGCUGCCACUUGACCUCUUGCAGCAUCCUUUGGAAGUAUGGCCUCGCAAAUUCGUGUUGUUUCACUGCUGUGUAAUAUGGGAGUUCCUGAAAUAACAGGACUGGUUUUGGGUUGCAGUGGAGCUGGUCUGUGUCGCACCGUUCGUCCAUUUGGCCUGCAGAGCCGACACGUGCGGUGCUGGGGAAUUCACUCAGCAGAAAUCAUUUAUGGUCUGGUGUAGUUCAAAGCGGAGGUAUCACAUCACUUCCACCCUUGCUGCCGAAGUCAGAGAUACCUUGCAGAACGAGGCGCAGGCACGGCUAUGAUCUGCUAGAGCCUGGUGAUGGUUUCCAUCUUACUGUCCUUUACCGGUUGGUUUAGACAGCCUGAAAAAGCUGUGGCCACAGUUGUGCCAAAUGUACACUUGUUUCAUCCGGGACUGAGACCAUUACUUUAAUAAGUAAAUGAUGAGUUAGCUUUUAUACUAUUUUGUUUAUCCACCAAAACCAUCUGUGCAGUUUGAAUAUCGUUUCAUUUUCACUUGUGAUAAAACAAGAACGUGGAAAUUAUUUAGCCUUCAAAUUUUAUCUUUAUCUUUUUUGUAGGAAAAGCAAAUUUAAUAUGGCCUCCCUAAAGGGUAAUAGAUAAAUAAGAUUAGAUUUUGAAUAAAGGUUAGUAGUGUCUCUUUAA
Molecule: long non-coding RNA, 1511 nt
Organism: Dromaius novaehollandiae (emu)
Lineage: Eukaryota; Metazoa; Chordata; Aves; Casuariiformes; Dromaiidae
Exons: 2
Source: RefSeq, a predicted model, not a curated record